Molecule: ribosomal RNA, 497 nt
Filed under: uncultured bacterium
Lineage: Bacteria
Description: partial 16S ribosomal RNA
Rfam family: Bacterial small subunit ribosomal RNA
Source: RNAcentral
GAUGAACGCUGGCGGCGUGCCUAAUACAUGCAAGUCGAGCGAACAGACGAGGAGCUUGCUCCUCUGACGUUAGCGGCGGACGGGUGAGUAACACGUGGAUAACCUACCUAUAAGACUGGGAUAACUUCGGGAAACCGGAGCUAAUACCGGAUAAUAUAUUGAACCGCAUGGUUCAAUAGUGAAAGACGGUUUUGCUGUCACUUAUAGAUGGAUCCGCGCCGCAUUAGCUAGUUGGUAAGGUAACGGCUUACCAAGGCAACGAUGCGUAGCCGACCCGAAGGGGUGAAUCGCCAGCCUGGAACUGAGACACGGUCCAGACUCCUACGGGGGGCAGCAGCAGGGAAUCUUCCGCAAUGGGCGAAAGCUUGACGGAGCAACGCCGCGUGAGUGAUGAAGGUCUUCGGAUCGUAAAGCUCUGUUAGUAGGGAAGAACAAAUGUUUAAGUAACUAUGAACAUCUUGACGGUACCUAAUCAGAAAGCCACGGCUAACUACGUG